This 274-nucleotide ribosomal RNA is filed under the name uncultured bacterium. RNAcentral describes it as "partial 16S ribosomal RNA". It matches the Rfam family "Bacterial small subunit ribosomal RNA", at positions 523 to 796 of the family's 1533-position model. The record is from RNAcentral.
AUACGGAGGGUGCAAGCGUUACUCGGAAUCACUGGGCGUAAAGCGCGCGCAGGCGGCUAUUUAAGUUGGAUGUGAAAGCCUACGGCUCAACCGUAGAACUGCAUCCAAAACUAUUUAGCUAGAGUGUGGGAGAGGAAGAUGGAAUUAGUUGUUUAGGGGUAAAAUCCGUAGAGAUAACUAGGAAUACCAAAAGCGAAGGCAAUCUUCUGGGACACUACUGACGCUGAGGCGCGAAAGCGUGGGGAGCAAACGGGAUUAGAAACCCCAGUAGUCC